This 253-nucleotide ribosomal RNA is filed under the name uncultured bacterium. RNAcentral describes it as "partial 16S ribosomal RNA". It matches the Rfam family "Bacterial small subunit ribosomal RNA", at positions 524 to 776 of the family's 1533-position model. The record is from RNAcentral.
UACGGGGGGGGCAAGCGUUGUUCGGAAUUACUGGGCGUAAAGGGCUCGUAGGCGGCCAACUAAGUCAGACGUGAAAUCCCUAGGCUCAACCUAGGAACUGCGUCUGAUACUGGAUGGCUUGAAUCCGGGAGAGGGAUGCAGAAUUCCAGGUGUAGCGGUGAAAUGCGUAGAUAUCUGGAGGAACACCAAUGGCGAAGGCAGCUCGCUGGGACGGUACUGACGCUGAGGCGCGAAAGCGUGGGGAGCAAACAGG